GUUGACAUGUUGACUUGUUGACAUGUUGACCUGUUGACCCUCCAUUCCAUUUGGUUUAAGGAACCAGUUCCCCCGUUAAACUGCCAGAAACCCCUUGGUUUAGGUCAGAUAGGGUUACCAAGAUGACUCGCUAUUUUCCAGAAUAAUGAGCAAGUUGUUUUUUUUCUAGAAUUUCUCAUUGCGUUCUGUUAACCGAGAUGUGGAUGUGAACUCCUGCUGGUUCACAUCCAGUGCCUGCUGAACCAGCAGGAGGUUAAGUUGAGGCCUGUACCAUCUCCCUACACCUACCCAGCCUCCUCUCCAUGGCGUGUCUUCUAUAACGUGAAAAUUUUCUGUAAGGGGUGAUGUGUCUGGGUCUUGGUUUUGAUAUCAUCUGGUUCUGGUUCUGGUUGCAGAGGGACCUUGUGGAGGAAGUUGAUGAUGGUCCAAACAGUUCGACCCCAGAUGCCUGGAGGAGACACCUGGACCAACGGCUGACUGCAGGGGGUGCCGCUGAGCCUGAUGGGUACCUGCAGGUGGCAGCGUUGGCCAGAAAGUGUCUGAACAGGCAGAGGAAGAAGAGACCGGCAAUGACUGAGGUCAGAAACCUGAAAAAAACAACAUGGAGGACAAGUUCUAGUUCAAGUUCUCAUCCUAAACUAGAACAAACUAAUCAGUGUAGAUCUCUACACUGAUCUCUGAGUCUGCAGGACUCAGGUCUGGACUCUCCCAGGUUCAGGUCUAGACUCUACCAAGUCUAGACUCUACCAGGUUCAGGUCUAGACUCUACCAGGUCUAGACUCUACCAGGUUUAGACUCUACCAGAUUCAGGUCUGGACUCUACCAGGUCUGGACUCUACCAGGUUCAGGUCUAGACUCUACCAGGUUCAGGCCUAGACUCUACCAGGUCUAGACUCUACCAGGUUCAGGUCUAGACUCUACCAGGUCUAGACUCUAC
This is a long non-coding RNA of Poecilia latipinna (sailfin molly), 937 nucleotides long. RefSeq lists it as uncharacterized. The record is from RefSeq and is a predicted model, not a curated record. The transcript has 3 exons. NCBI's taxonomy places the organism in Eukaryota, Metazoa, Chordata, Actinopteri, Cyprinodontiformes, Poeciliidae.